GUUACGUUUUUCAUACGUACGUAUACGCACGUAAAACUUUAAAUCCGUUUAAAUGUUACUUAUGAAUAAACCAAAUAAAUAAAGCAACAGAAUUUAGUGUUCCGCAAGUUUUAGUAUGCAUUUGUUAACUUGUUUGCAAAAUAUUUAAAAAAUAGAAGGAUUCAAAGUUUUACGUGCGUGUACGUGCGUACGAAAAACGCAAC
This is a non-coding RNA of Paramuricea clavata, 203 nucleotides long. The record is from the annotation of a GenBank genome assembly. Lineage: Eukaryota; Metazoa; Cnidaria; Anthozoa; Malacalcyonacea; Plexauridae.